Syngnathus acus (greater pipefish) is the source of this 722-nucleotide long non-coding RNA. RefSeq lists it as uncharacterized. The transcript is spliced from 2 exons. The record is from RefSeq and is a predicted model, not a curated record. NCBI's taxonomy places the organism in Eukaryota, Metazoa, Chordata, Actinopteri, Syngnathiformes, Syngnathidae.
CACCAUUGUCUUUGCGACUGGCCCAGAAUGGACAUGCAAAACACAGCAAACUAAAGAACAUUAGUUCACUCAAAAACAAUCGUGUUCAAGUCCAACAGAGAAAACAGGAUUCCGAGUGGGAGAAGUACCUCAUCUCGUGCUACACUCAGCGGAAAAUGUAGUUGACAGAAAAGUGGGAACGUCUACAUUUUUGUACCCUGUAAUGUCUUAAAAUAGGUGAUGACAAUGUUCUGCAGAAGGUUAUCCUUAAAUAGAGAUUUUCUGUUUUUGUAUUGGCUUUACAACACAACCGUGCCAUUUGUCAGCAUUUGCACCUAAGAUCCGAUGUUUCUGCUUAAAUCCUUGUCUGCAUAAAUCCUCUACCUUCUUUAACGUUUAGUACUAUACAAAAGUAUAUUGUUGUUUUCCUGAAAUUUAGUAUGUGCCACUGCUUGUUUGAAGAAAAAAAACUUGGAGAGCAUAACUGACUUGAAUUCAAAAUGUGCACCACAUGAUUGUCAUAAGUGACACACUAACUGACUGCAUGCUGAACAAUGUUUUGCUUUUGUUGAAUUUCUAAUUGAUUUUUGAGCCUAAUGAUGACUGAGUGGGCAACCAGCAUUUUUACAAUUGCUUUAGCUGUGCUCCAAAAGCAUAUCUUAUAUUCUUUUAUAGUUACACAUUUUAUUGUGGUAUAAGAACUGUGGCUUUGUGUUGUGUUGAAUAAAUGCCCUUGUUCAAGA